This 605-nucleotide ribosomal RNA is filed under the name uncultured Pseudomonadota bacterium. RNAcentral describes it as "bacterial SSU rRNA". It matches the Rfam family "Bacterial small subunit ribosomal RNA", at positions 84 to 665 of the family's 1533-position model. Lineage: Bacteria; Pseudomonadati; Pseudomonadota. The record is from RNAcentral.
UCCCCGGUAAAGUGGCGCACGGGUGCGUAACACGUAGGCAAUCUUCCCUCAGGUGGGGGAUAACUACCCGAAAGGGUAGCUAAUACCGCGUAAGACCACAGUCUCCACGGAGACAGCGGUCAAAGGAGGUCUCUUCAUGAAAGCUUCCACCAGAGGAUGAGCCUGCGGCCCAUCAGCUAGUUGGCAGGGUAACGGCCUACCAAGGCGAAGACGGGUAGCCGGUCUGAGAGGAUGAUCGGCCACACUGGCACUGAAACACGGGCCAGACUCCUACGGGAGGCAGCAGUGGGGAAUCUUGGACAAUGGGCGAAAGCCUGAUCCAGCGACGCCGCGUGGGUGAUGAAGGCCUUCGGGUUGUAAAGCCCUGUUGAGGGGAAAGAAAACAUCGGGCGCGAAUAGCUCCCGAUCUUGACGGUACCCCUCCAGAAAGCACCGGCUAACUCUGUGCCAGCAGUUGCGGUAAGACAGAGGGUGCAAACGUUGCUCGGAAUUACUGGGCGUAAAGCGCGUGUAGGCGGGCCAACAAGUCAGAUGUGAAAUCCCUGAGCUUAACUCAGGAACUGCAUUUGAAACUGUUGGCCUUGAGUGGUGGAGAGGGAAGCGGA